CAACCCUCAAGCCCCCGGGUUUGGUGUUGGGGAUCGGCGAGUCUUAGGACCAGCCGCCCCCUAAAUCUAGUGGCGGUCUCACUGCAGCCUCCAUUGCGUAGUAGCUAACACCUCGCAACUGGAACGCGGUGCGGCCAUGCCGUUAAACCCCCAACUUCUGAAUG
Molecule: unclassified non-coding RNA, 164 nt
Filed under: uncultured Fusarium
Lineage: Eukaryota; Fungi; Ascomycota; Sordariomycetes; Hypocreales; Nectriaceae
Description: sequence contains ITS2
Source: RNAcentral